Molecule: long non-coding RNA, 371 nt
Organism: Sebastes umbrosus (honeycomb rockfish)
Lineage: Eukaryota; Metazoa; Chordata; Actinopteri; Perciformes; Sebastidae
Exons: 3
Source: RefSeq, a predicted model, not a curated record
CCGUUCUUCUUUUUAUAAAUGACGACUCCAAUCACAGCGAUGAGGACGAGAGCAAGAACAACCACUGCAGCGAUGAUGGGGACGUCUCACCUUCGUUGGUCCUGAUCACUGCUUUGUCCAGUCUGGUGACGAGGUCGUCCUUCACACCAGAGAGCUGAAACACACAGUCGUACCUCCUCCAGUCUUCAGCUGAUGAAAGUUUCACGUCAACACUCAUCUGGAAGGUUCCAUCGUGGUUGGGGAGGAUCUCUCCGAGGUCCACGUCCUCAUGAAGGUCCUCUCCAUCUUUCCUCCAGAACAGUGUGGCUCUGUCAGGGUAGAAACCUGUAGCGUGGCAGCUGACUGGAGAGGAGGGAGUCUUCUGGAGGAGA